UGCAAAGGUAGCAUAAUCAUUAGUCUUUUAAUAGGGGGCUAGUAUGAAGGGUUUGACGAGACGCUAGCUGUCUCAAUUUAAUGUAUUAAAAUUUAACUUUUAAGUUAAAAGGCUUAAAUUUUGUUGGAAGACGAGAAGACCCUAUAGAGCUUUAUGGUUAUAUUUUUAACUAUUUUUGGUGUGUAUAAAUUAUUAUUAUUAAAUAUACUCAUUUUGUUGGGGUGACAAAGAAAUAGGAAUAACUUUUUUAUUUUAAAACCAUUUAUUUAUGAUUAGGAGAUCCAAUAUUGUUGAUUGAUAGAAUAAGUUACCUUAGGGAUAACAGCGUAAUCUUCUUUUGGAGUUCAAAUUUACAAGGAGGGUUGCGACCUCGAUGUUGGAUUAAGAUUACAAUUGGGUGCAGUAGCUUGAUUAGUAGGUCUGUUCGACCUUUAAAUUCUUA
Molecule: ribosomal RNA, 442 nt
Filed under: Diphlebia coerulescens (rockmaster damselfly)
Lineage: Eukaryota; Metazoa; Arthropoda; Insecta; Odonata; Diphlebiidae
Description: partial 16S ribosomal RNA
Rfam family: Bacterial large subunit ribosomal RNA
Source: RNAcentral